GUCCUUAAUAUUACAAAAACAAAAGUUAAAGGUUGUAUCCUAUCAUAUGGCUGUCUACCUGGGUACACAAACUUCAACAGUCUGAAUGUCUCUUUUGUCUGCUGUGACACCAACCUCUGCAAUGCCAAAGAUGUUUCAGAGCCUGCUGUAAAUUCCAAUUCUCUCAUCCCCAAUGCAAUGCAAUGUUACACUUGUUACGGACAGAACUGCUCAACAACUAUCAUGAGCUGCUCAGGGAAUGAAGACCACUGCAUAACAGUAACAGAUAAUGUUGGAGGUCUACCAUUUACUACACAAGGCUGUGCCUCUAAAGCUGUUUGUGAUACCGCACUAUCAUAUCGUGGCCGGAGCAUCUGUUGUUCAGGGAAUCUGUGUAAUGGAGCUAAAAGUGAAACCCUGAAUCUCCUGUUUCUCUGCUUUUCUCUGAUCUCCUUCAUCCUGAUGCUCUGAAUCCAGAAGAUCAGAUUCAAUCAAAUGUACUUUAUAUGUAUGUAUGUAUAUAGCUGGUAGUUUUGCAGUAUUAUACAAUGCUCAGCAUAAAUGAGUAACACCCCUCACAGAUCUCUCUUUUAAAUUAAUAUUUUAUAUAAGAUGCUUUACAGAAAUAUAUCAGUGCAUGUAGCUUAAAUUUGACAGUACCAAAGCCAAAACCGGUACAAAUAACAAAAAAAUUUAAGACCACAAUCCAAAAAUUAGAACAUACAAAUAAAAAUGUU
Danio rerio (zebrafish) is the source of this 716-nucleotide non-coding RNA. NCBI's taxonomy places the organism in Eukaryota, Metazoa, Chordata, Actinopteri, Cypriniformes, Danionidae. The record is from RefSeq and is a predicted model, not a curated record.